CAAAAGGGCAACUUGAGAGCUCCAAAUCCGCUGUUCAACCGUUGACUUCAGGAAGAGCGCAAAGAAGAUAAUCUGUCUGUUCCAUGAAACGUGAGCUGGGCAGCAGAGGACCAUUUACAAAACCGUUCACCCACACAUUGGCAGAUUGGUAUUGAUUGACAGCUGGGAGUUAAGCUGGUACUGCUCUGAAGUCGCCAUGACCUCUAACCUAGAUGGCUACAAUACCUACUACGACUUCUCCUUGCCUCCAGGUUUGCCUCUCUACAUUCUAUUCUCAACAAAGCAACCAGGGUGAUUCACCUGAAACAUACAAGUCACAUCACGUCACCUCAUGUUACUGUAAUAGAUUUUCAUCUUCUCAGGAUGGAAGUGAAGAGUUAUUAGAAUACCAUAAAGAGACUAUGUUAUGUGUUCCCCAAAUGCCACCCCCCUACUAUACUGGCUUCAUAUUAUACUCUCACCCUUUCUCUUUCUGCUCUGAGCUGUUAGUUGUCUUGUUGUGUCUCCACCAUAAUAUAUAUGUUGCUAACUCAUGGCCUUUA
Long non-coding RNA from Homo sapiens (human), 542 nucleotides. RefSeq lists it as uncharacterized. The transcript is spliced from 3 exons. Lineage: Eukaryota; Metazoa; Chordata; Mammalia; Primates; Hominidae. The record is from RefSeq and is a predicted model, not a curated record.